GCCGCCUUUGCAGAUUGCCUAGCUGGUAGCCCUCCCAUGAAACCACGCCGAGAUCUUCAGGUGCAACUAUGUCCCGGGCUGGCCGUGCACUACGACCCCUGAAGGGCAUCGGGUUGGGGAAGGCUGGGCUAAGCAUCUGUGUUCAUGAACAUCACGCGGAGAAAAAGGGGUCCGUCUGCACGAAAUGCACCGUUCAUCUGCAGAGCGUAGUUGUGCCACUGGAUGAUAAUGGAGUUACAGGAAUAUUGAAGGAGGAUAAAAAGAUUGUGGAGAAGCUGAAUGAAUUCUUUUCAUUGUCUUUACUGAAGAAGUUAUUUGACAGACUUGGCAGGAGAACAAUCAUCGUUCCCCACGACUGGUCUCCAAUGGCAUACCGCUUCUGAACCUGGAUGCUCCUUAGAGCUACUCACCACUGAUAAACCGAAAUGGAGUGAAUUUGUCUAAAGCCAUUUAAGUUCAUCAUUAUACCUUGGAGAAGUAGGAGAAAGAUGGAUGCAGCACUCUGGGGAGCGAACUCUCAGAUGGGCCAUGUGACUGGAUGCAUGAUGAAGCGAUACAUGAAUGAUGAAUAUAUGCUGCAGAUCAGCUGAUCUGGAUCAGAACAUGUUUUUUGAAGACUGAACACCAAACAGCUAAAGAAGAAUCAGGCAGGACGCGGGUGAAUCCUGUUCAGAUGGGAUUCCAUGUGACGAGGGGAAAAUAUGUGAUUUUCUGGAAUCGGCUGUCUGGCCAAGAAAGAGAUGAUGCUUUCAGCAAUCUU
Long non-coding RNA from Varanus komodoensis (Komodo dragon), 760 nucleotides. RefSeq lists it as uncharacterized. The record is from RefSeq and is a predicted model, not a curated record. The transcript is spliced from 4 exons. Lineage: Eukaryota; Metazoa; Chordata; Lepidosauria; Squamata; Varanidae.